AGCAGCCGCGGUAAUUCCAGCUCCAAUAGCGUAUAUUAAAGUUGUUGCAGUUAAAAAGCUCGUAGUUGAAUUUCGGGAUCAAAUUGUCGGUCGUGCCUCGGUACGUACUGGCGUUAUUGGUUCCUCCCUUCUGAAGAACCGCGAUGUCAUUAAUUUGGUGUCGCGGGGAAUCAGGACUGUUACUUUGAAAAAUUAGAGUGUUUAAAGCAGGCUCGCGCUUGAAUACAUUAGCAUGGAAUAAUGAAAUAGGACGUUUGAUUCUAUUUUGUUGGUUUCUAGGAUCGACGUAAUGAUUAAUAGGGAUAGUUGGGGGCAUUAGUAUUCAAUUGUCAGAGGUGAAAUUCUUGGAUUUAUUGAAGACUAACUACUGCGAAAGCAUUUGCCAAGGAUGUUUUCAUUAAUCAAGAACGAAAGUUAGGGGAUCGAAGACGAUCAGAUACCGUCGUAGUCUUAACCAUAAACUAUGCCGACUAGGGAUCGGAUGAUGUUAAUUUUUAAUGUACUCAUUCGGCGCCUUAC
Molecule: ribosomal RNA, 519 nt
Filed under: uncultured Glomus
Lineage: Eukaryota; Fungi; Glomeromycota; Glomeromycetes; Glomerales; Glomeraceae
Description: SSU rRNA
Rfam family: Eukaryotic small subunit ribosomal RNA
Source: RNAcentral